UGACUCCAGAGUGGAGCCUUUCCACAGUUUCAGGCUGGUGUCUGAGGCCUCAGCGUCUGCCCCCAGGAGAGCUCCAACUGGCCGGGAUGCCACCCGCGUCGCCGCCCCGCGGCCAUGGAACAUCUGUCCACCCCAUGCAGUCUGGGAGAGCUGGUCUGAUGCAAACAAAUGGGCUCCCGUUAACCAUGAGUAGGGCCAUUCAUUGCGAGAGCCCUGAUCCUGGAACCGUGUUCCUCCCUGGCCCCGGGAGGCCCCUGGAGUGUGAGCUGUGGGGCCUUGAGAGUCCUGUGUUUUUGUCUUAGAAAAAGCUGCUGAAGAGAGUUGGGCAGUCCCAGUGUUCCCCUAAGGAGGCAGAGCGCCUCCUCUCUGCUGAAAUAAUCCGACACAAGCUGCCGAGGCUGGAAUCCCAGCAGCCGAUCCACACCCUGAGGUCUAGGGCAAAACCUAACGUUUUUCUUUGAACCCUGGGAAUUGAGCAACUGAAAGUCUGGAUUCUAUUUCUCACGCUAAUUCUCAGUCCGGUGACCAUCAUCGGUGGAGGAGAACCAUCUCACGGGUCUGGGCUGCAGCUCUGGGACUGCUGCUGUUUCGAUCAGGACGGUGGGUGCAUCGAGGAUGCUGCUUGCCAGGCACUAAAGAGACUUGUCGUGGCCCAGAUGAACAUUUGCAGCAUCUGGAGGCCGUGCCAGAACCCGGAGUCCCAGCACAUGCGUGUGGAAGACCCAUUUCCAGGUCACCUGGGUAAAGAAUGGACAGUGCGGCUUCCCGCUGGGACGUUUCCCCUGUGUGUUCCAAACACAGAAAGAGGAAGAAAGCUUUGAGUUUUUAUGGAACAAGCAUAGCAGUGACACCAAGGAGAUCUGCAGAAAGCAAGCUAUGAACUCAUGUGAUGUGUGAAGAGCAAUGUGAGAAUCCUAAAUAGAUUAUUAGCAGACAGAGUCCAGCAGUGUUAGAGAGUUACAUCCCCAGACUAAGUGUUUUCCAGUGAAGUAGGGAGGGCUCCCUGUUAGGUCUAUUGACAUAAAUCACCAUUUAAUACCGCAAAAGAGAAAAAGAACAUGGCCAUCUCUGUAGAUGCUGACAAACAUUGGAUGAAGUUCAACAUCCAUUCUAUUUUUAAAAUUCUCCUGAUAAAAUAGAAAUUGAUGAAUGCUUCUUUAAUGUUAUAAAUGAUCUCUGUCUCAGCCUGAAAGAGCACAUCUUGGGGAAACACUGGAAACAUUCCCCCCAAAGUUGUGAAGACGCCAGACAUUCCCACCCCGUGUCGUCCUCACAUGUGUGGGAGGCACUGGCCUGUGCCUUUAUCAAGAGAGAGAAGCUGAAAGUACCAAAAUGGGAAAGCGUGAGAUAAAGUGAUAAUCACUUAUGGAUAUUUUAUUGCAUAUCUGGAAAACUCUAAAGAAGCAACUGAAAAAAGUGAACAAAAAUCUAAGAGGAUUUGGCAAAGUAUAAAAUUAGGAUAUGGAAAUUGGCAGCCUUUCUAUCUAGAAACAAGAACCACUAGGAAAUAUGAUCAAAGAAAAGACAACAUCAAAAAAAGGUAAAACAUCUGAGAAUGUGGUUAGAGGAAAUGUGGAAACUCUACAGCAGGAAGACUUCACGGCCUCCGGGGCUGCGCUGGCCGGGACGAGGGGAGCAGCAGGCUGUGCUGGAAGGGAAGACUUGUCAAGAUGCCGGUUUUCACUAAGUUCAUCUGUACGUACAGUACAAUCUCAAUGAAAAUGUUAACUCUUCUUUUUUUAACCAGACAGGCUAAAUCUGUAUGAAAAAUUAACAGAACAGGUGGAACAAACCUAAAAGAAAAACCAAAUAAUAGAGAACUUAGUCCUAUCAGAUAGUAAAACAUAUUAUGAAAUUAUAUUUUAAACUAUAUGCGACUGGCAAAUGAGUAGGUAGGAAGUCCAGAAAUAGACCCAAUAUACAUGCAAAUUAUAGGAUGGAGGCAUUUAAAUCAUUGGGGAUGCACGAUUUUCCUGUAACGAUCAGUGGGUAGACGUCCAGGAAAACCCUAAAGCUGGUUGUGUACUCCACCACAAUCAGGUCUAGGCAGAUCAAAGAGUUAAAUGCAAAUGAAAAGAAAAGCAGCAGAAGUGUCUAACAGAAGCCAUGGGGGAUUUUUAUAUGUUGAAGUUUGGAAGGAAGGCCUAAAUAUGACACAAAACCCAGAAGCCAUAAUAUUGUUAAUAAAUGUGAUUACAUAAGAAUAAAAAACUUCUGCAUGGACCAAGAAUGCCA
RNAcentral lists this long non-coding RNA (2235 nucleotides) under Equus caballus (horse). RNAcentral's name for it is "lncRNA (ENSECAG00000055148.1)". Lineage: Eukaryota; Metazoa; Chordata; Mammalia; Perissodactyla; Equidae. The record is from RNAcentral.